GACGAACGCUGGCGGCGUGCUUAACACAUGCGAGUCGAACGGAAAGACCCCUUUCUUGGUCCUCUAGUGGCGAACGCGUGCGUAACACGAGCGUAACCUUCCCUUGCCUUCGAGAUAACUUCAGGAAACUGGGGCUAAUACCGGUACGGAAUCCUUGCUGCAUGGUCGUGGUUGGAAAGCUUCGGAGGUUUUGGAUGUACUCGCGGCUUAUCAGCUUGCUGGUUAGGUAGUGGCUUACCAUGGCUUUGACGGGUGGCCGGCAUGAGAGGGCGACCGGGCACCUUGGGACUGAGAUACGGCGCAGACUCCUACGGGAGGCAGCAGUGGGGAACCUUGCGCAAUGGGGGGAAGUCAGAUGCAGCAACCCUGCGUGCGGGAUGACGGCCUUUGGGUUGUAAACCGAUUUCAGCAGAGGCGAAGCCUUUUUGACGGUACCUGCAGAAGAAGCAACGGCUAACUACGUG
Molecule: ribosomal RNA, 464 nt
Filed under: uncultured bacterium
Lineage: Bacteria
Description: partial 16S ribosomal RNA
Rfam family: Bacterial small subunit ribosomal RNA
Source: RNAcentral